AUUGAACGCUGGCGGCAUGCCUUACACAUGCAAGUCGAACGGCAGCACGGACUUCGGUCUGGUGGCGAGUGGCGAACGGGUGAGUAAUGUAUCGGAACGUACCUUUCAGUGGGGGAUAACGUAGCGAAAGUUACGCUAAUACCGCAUAUUCUGUGAGCAGGAAAGCAGGGGACCGCAAGACCUUGCGCUGAUUGAGCGGCCGAUAUCAGAUUAGCUAGUUGGUGGGGUAAAGGCCUACCAAGGCGACGAUCUGUAGCGGGUCUGAGAGGAUGAUCCGCCACACUGGAACUGAGACACGGUCCAGACUCCUACGGGAGGCAGCAGUGGGGAAUUUUGGACAAUGGGGGCAACCCUGAUCCAGCCAUGCCGCGUGAGUGAAGAAGGCCUCGGUU
Molecule: ribosomal RNA, 392 nt
Filed under: uncultured bacterium
Lineage: Bacteria
Description: bacterial SSU rRNA
Rfam family: Bacterial small subunit ribosomal RNA
Source: RNAcentral